This 2688-nucleotide ribosomal RNA is filed under the name Triticum aestivum (bread wheat). Its description in RNAcentral is "partial small subunit ribosomal RNA". Lineage: Eukaryota; Viridiplantae; Streptophyta; Magnoliopsida; Poales; Poaceae. The record is from RNAcentral.
GGAGUAUUAUCUAAAUCACAUUAACUGAAUAUUCUUGUCAAUUGUACAUAUCAUGGAACUAAAUCUAAUGGAGACUUUCAGCAAAGACACAUUGUUUCAGGUUUGCAGUCAUAUACAAAAUCAUAACGAUCAGCAGAUACAAUUGAAAAGAGAUAACAAAAUAAUUAUCCGGUGCCAAGCAAGGCGAUGGACAGUCUGCUGGUACGCACCAUGUCCACGAACACGUGAGGGCUACUGCUGUGUGGAUGAUCUGUUUUUCUCGGGUGCAAAUGGACAUUGCUCAAUAAAUGUUUCGUAACAUAGCCUCUUGAUCGUCUACAUAGCCAAAAAUGCAUCUCAGUUGACAAAGCACAAGCAUGUGCAGCUUCUCUGCAUUUGAGGGGGGCAAUAUUGUAGCUAGGAAACAAUAAAAAAUACAAAGAAAUGGAAUGUAUAUUAUAGUUCUACUAAUUAAAUAACAAAGAGGUGUGUUAACCUGGUAUGGUUGCGAACAGGUCAGGCAAUUAGGGACACAAAAGAUGGAGAAGUUAAUACCCACAUUUUUUCAGAGCAUCAAGGCCCGUGUCUGAUAUAUCCUGAGCACCAUAGUGUAUAGAUAAAUCAACAUAAUAGUUAGUAAACCAAUAUUGUGGGAUCAGGGAAACAACACACACCUUUGUCCUGUUGAGCUGAUCGAACAGACAUAUUCAGGAAAAUGAAGAAAGAAAGAAAGAAAAUUAACCUGGAUGUCGUAUAUAUUUAGCUUUCUGUGGCAUUUGACUAUUACCAUUACCAAGAGUUCUUCAUGUAAAAGCACCGCCUUUGUAGUCAAGCAUGCUAGUGAACUCCGCAUUAAUGGAAGAGUUUAUCCUUCCAUUAACGUGAACUCCAAAAUCUAGAUAAACAGUACUACCUCUAUAAAGAAAUAUAAGAGCGUCCCAAACAAAUUUCUUUAUGGAGGGAGUACCAAACAAAUUUCAUUAAAUAUUGUAACCCAACUCUAAAAAUUUGAUUUGUGUGCUCACCUAGUAUUUUUUAUAUAUGCAUUGUCACACCACCAGUCUGUUAUAACAGUUUGUUAUACCAAUAUCCAAUAAGCGGUCUGUUAUAUAUGCAAGAGGCCGGCAAGUAUUCACCACAGCAAAACAUUAUCUCUGACUUUUUAUCACUUCACUUGAUGGAAUAGUUCAGGUUGAAUACACAUAUAAAUGCAAACAUCUACAGUUACAGAACAUACAACAACAGUGCAGAUUCUGCUGCAACCUCCUGAUAUAUUCCUUUAUAGUUUCUCUGACGUAGUAGUAAACAAAUUCAUUAGCAAUUGAACUUACGAAGUGUCAGAUGAGCAAUCAAACAGAGAAAAGCGUAAUGACCAAUAUGCAGUCGGGAGCAGCGGCAUACCGGAGGCGGCCGCCCCUGACAUCAAUCACAUCUCUCUCUGGCCUAGGGCGAGACCGGAAGGGGUCAGGGGUAGAACGUACCUUCUCAAGGGCGGAGGAGCGGCGCUGGCCAGGCUUGGAGGGCGUCGUCCGGGUGCACGCGGCGGGGAAGGCGGUGGUGGAACGACGGCUUGCCGUGGCAGCCUUGGAACCGCAGCCUCCAACAUGUGCCACAUACCAUCAAACCACAAGGACGGGGCUUGCCUGCUCCGUGAAAAUACUCCCAUCCGUGCUCCCCCGGUAAGUGACGCUCAUCCAACGAUCCCACGCUGCUGGCCUCCUUUCCGCUUAAAAAACCCAGCAAUUAAACAAAACCGGCGGCACCUUCCUCUUAAUUAAACGCAGGAAAAGAUCAGCCUCUCGUUUCAUUCCUCUCCUAUCCACUCACUUUCCCAAAGCAGUAGCUUCUCCGCGGCGCUCGUCAGCGAACUGCACACCAGACCUUGCGGCCACGGCGUCCCUCGGCCCUCGCGGCGCUCGUAGGCGAGCUGCGCGCCGUUCCUGAGGACGCAGCCUCCGUCGCCCGGCGCGGCGCUCGUCGUCGAGCUGCGCGCUGUUCCUGAGGCCGCAGCCUCCGCCGCCCUGCGCGGCGCUCGUCGGCGACCUGCGUGCCGUCCCACCUCGGCGGUCACCUUCGUGGCCCUGUUUGCCGCGUUCGCCGCUUGUCGUGGUAGAAGGAUGGCUGCAGUGAAGCAUUUGAUGUUGGGUGUCCUAUCAUCGUACCAAUGGACGACUGCAGCGAGGCAUUCGGAGCUGGGCGUCCUCUCAUCGUACCAACGGAUGGCUGCAGCGAGGCAUUCGGAGCUGGGCGUCCUCUCAUCGUACCAACGGAUGGCUGCAGCGAGGCAUUUGGAGCUGGGUGUCCUAUCAUCGUACCAAGAGACGGCAAUAGUGAGGCAUCCAGAGCUGAGUUGCAUUGUUCUGAAUAGGAUUGGGAGAAGACUGUUGGGUCAGAGAAAAAGGAAGAACGCAAUGGAAACAAGAUGGCUUACAUUUGGGGGAUUUGAUUCCUCAUUGGUUCCGGCAAGAAUUGGUGAAGAAGCCAUCAAGUUCCUCCAGCAAGUCCCUUUGUUGGAUCUGUGUUCGUAGAUAGAUUUGAUGAAGUGUAUAGUUUGGUUUGUUUCGUACUCUAUGUGCGGGAUAAGUUCACGGCCAAUGCUUUUGGCGGGCAAGACAUAUUUAUUUCCCUCCAAAUCUUUGUUCUGUUGCGUUAAUUACGUUUGCCUAGAGAAAGUCCGGAACGGCUGGUUUUAAUUAAGAGACGGACGGC